CCCCACCUCUAAUGCUCAAAACUGUUCGGGAUUUGAAUCCUUCAUUUCAUUCUGUUUCUUUUCCUUUGUAUGUAUGAAACCUUAAGCCUCAUCUACAAAAUCUUAUUAUCCUGCCUAUGUAGAUAUCAGAUGUGGCAUGAAUGCCAAUGAGACAACUAUCCAUCCAAGUCACAAUUUGUAACAGUAAACCAUUGUAGGUCAAAAUAAGG
RNAcentral lists this long non-coding RNA (209 nucleotides) under Mytilus galloprovincialis (Mediterranean mussel). Lineage: Eukaryota; Metazoa; Mollusca; Bivalvia; Mytilida; Mytilidae. The record is from RNAcentral.